ACUCCAUUUCCAGAUAACCUCAACUGGAUAACCAAGAAUCUUCAUAGCUAGUUUGGAUGUGUUAUUUACAUUUUGUCUAAAUCACUCCUCUUUCAAAGGACCUUCAGAGCCAGUGACAGUAUGAAGAAAUAGCCAGCCUAAAUAACCUCACCAUUUAGUUACCAGAGGUUUCUUUGAAUUAAGCCUGAGUAGUGCUGCUAAAGAAUAACUUAGAAGAACCUACAGUAACUGAAAUCCAUAGCUUAAGACUUGGAAAACAAAGCCUGGGUCCCAGCACUGAAAAACACAGCCUGCAAAAGGUCAACGAACUCUACUCAGCCACAAGGACCAGUGAUCACUGCACACAAAAGACCAGCUAAUGACACCCAUCAAUCACAGUGACAGAUAAUCUCUCCCCCUUAUCACAACAAUACACCCACAAAAAAAAACUUGCUGAUCACCAUAAUCACUCAAUCUCCAGAACAGGACAAAAAGCUGAUCCCACAGCUAUAAAUACUUAACUAUCCCACAAACUGCACCAGAGUUCGGACUCCUGUCCUCUGAAGAUGCCAGCAACAGAGACUGGCAAAAGGUUAGGAAGAAAAACCUCAAGAACACGGCCAGACAGCCCGAAAAAUAUACAACAACCACUUGGAAAACAGUUAGGAAUUCACAGUAUUACUAUAUUUCUAAAAGGGUGGGAUUGCAAAAGAUGAAUGAGGAAGUGGACAUUUAUGUAUCUUGGCAGGGCAGAAUGAAGUAAUACAGGUUCUUGAUUUCUGUCUUGAGGGAAGCAUCUUUCACAAACAUGACAGUUGACUUUUCCCCUGUUUUCCUAACUUAUUUAAAUGAAAUUCAGCAGCUUUUUGCCCCAUCUCCAUCUCACCACACCAAAGGCACCAUGAAGACAUUUGGCAGCUUGCUCCUUGUGAGCAUCAUGAUCCUUUGGGUUGAAAUGCCGUGUGGAACGUUGGAACAGGAGACAGAAGGAAGGCUUCGGAUUUGCCCAAUAGAUCUAUGUAGAUGCAGUGGUCCUCUACCUGACGAGUGCACAGAUCAUUUUUCUUGCAAAAGAGGGCUGGUUUGUUGUUAUUCUUGCUGUAAAAAGCGCUGUGUGAAGCCAGCAACAGAAAAACCUGGUCAAUGUCCUCCUGCUAUCGCAAUUGCAUGUUUGAAACCACAGAGAGAUGAAUGCAGAGUGGAUGCUCAAUGUCCACGUAAACAGAAAUGUUGUUAUAAACCCUGCCGUCUCAGUUGUGUAGAUCCAAUAUAAAGAUAAACUAACGUCUGGAUGAGCACCGGAACUAAUUGUGCUUUUAAAAAGAUGUCACCAUCUCUCUGCUGGCUUGGCAAGAUAUUCUGGCAUAAUACUAACAUUUCUGCAUCCAAAUAUUCUCUCUAUCCUAUGCGCAUACACCAAUUUCCCCCCUCAAACCUGAGCUCAAAACUCAGUGGAAAACAGCUCAUUGUCUCCUUUGCUAGCUUGGCAUACAAUGCAGGCAUAAAUACAAUUAAACUUUGUUUCUACAACUGCAUUUCAGUUUUGGUUACUAUCCUAUAUUUUUAAUUACUUUAUUAUUGAGAUAACAGAAAUAUUAGAGUUACAGAACAUAGAUACGGCCAGUUCAACUACACUUCAUAGUUCAGUCAUGCCGAAGUUAAAAAUGUACUUGAACCCAGUAACAUCAAUCAAAUGAGAUCAUUUCGAGAACUAGGAAUCCUAGAAAUUAAAGUUAGCUCACCUGUUGCUUAGAAAACUCGUCAUGAAGUGACAAUAGGUCCACAUGUACUGAUACAGUUUUGUUAAUUCCCAGUUAUGCUUUCAUUUCUCAAGAAUUUGGAACAAAUGUAUGUCAUAUAAUCUGUUUCUCAUUCAGAGUAUAAUGACAAGGAGAGCCUGUGUUUAGGAAAUAUAGCAUUACCUCCAACAGGCAGAUCUCUACUAUUAUACUGUCAUUAUAUUGAAGUGACCCCCUCAGGUGGUUGAUGUUUGAGUGAUAACAAGGGAUUGAUUGAUUGAUUGAUUGAUUGAUUGAUUGAUUGAUUGAUUGAUUGAUUGAUUGAUUGAAUGAAUGAAUGAAUGAAUGAAUGAAUGGAUUUUAGAUACCACCCUAUUAAUGCAAGCACUACUCUGGGUGGUGCACAGGUUGAAACUAAGCCCCACAAAGUCCCACAGAUCAUAGAAUGAUAUCAUAGUCUAACAGUGUAGAUCUAAAAUUCAUCUAAAAUGAGAAAAAAAUAACAUUAACAGCAUCUGUUAGGAUCAA
This 2246-nucleotide long non-coding RNA is filed under the name Pogona vitticeps (central bearded dragon). Its description in RNAcentral is "lncRNA (ENSPVIG00000023623.1)". The record is from RNAcentral. Lineage: Eukaryota; Metazoa; Chordata; Lepidosauria; Squamata; Agamidae.